RNAcentral lists this long non-coding RNA (202 nucleotides) under Panax ginseng (ginseng). RNAcentral describes it as "long non-coding RNA (PGIN_LNC000265)". Lineage: Eukaryota; Viridiplantae; Streptophyta; Magnoliopsida; Apiales; Araliaceae. The record is from RNAcentral.
AAGUCUACUUUGGCAGCCCACUGUAAGCCUUCUUACAUUAUAUAAAGCCUUCUUCUCAUAUAGCACACACUGUUAUACACAUUGAGAGUCGUGUUGUGUGCGUUUGCCCGGACUUCGGUCCGUAGUUUUUAUUUCUGUCUGUAUAUAUAUACUUAUAUAUAUGUAUAUAUUUCAUAUAUGGACUAACAUUAUCGAUUUAUGC